This 526-nucleotide long non-coding RNA is filed under the name Phoenix dactylifera (date palm). RNAcentral describes it as "long non-coding RNA (PDAC_LNC005652)". The record is from RNAcentral. Lineage: Eukaryota; Viridiplantae; Streptophyta; Magnoliopsida; Arecales; Arecaceae.
UACUCUUUUACGUUAACUAAUGGCUAAGUUCAUUGUUCGAAUCAUCUACUUGUUUUGAAUAUGAUGCCAGUAGUACGAUUGCUUGCUCGAGAAUAACUAACAUAAUAGCAUAUAAUGUUCCCACAUUUUAUACUGAUGUAUAUCUAGACAGCACGAACUUUUGACUUCAUGGGAUUACAUUCUAUUUGAGAAAACAUGGCAUUGCUUUCUCGAAUAACAUGGCCGAACGCUUCACUAGGUGGUGUACUUGCUAAUGAAAUUGUGGACCGCCUUUCGGUCUGUAUGAUGAAUUAGCAAUGUCCCGUUUGAGAUUUGUCAUGUGACCAGGUCGACAAUAUCAUAAUGAAGCCUAUGUAUAGGUUUCAACUGAAGUGCUGUAGCCAUUUCUAUUAGAAUAACUGAUCCUAAACUUUUGCCACAUACAACUGGGUAGUCCACAUCAAGGUCCCUCUAAACAUAGUUGCAUAUUAACAAUAAGCUAGCUCCAAUCACAGUUAGUGGCUAACAGAAUUAAUUAUCUUAGCAA